RNAcentral lists this ribosomal RNA (274 nucleotides) under uncultured bacterium. RNAcentral's name for it is "partial 16S ribosomal RNA". It matches the Rfam family "Bacterial small subunit ribosomal RNA", at positions 523 to 796 of the family's 1533-position model. The record is from RNAcentral.
AUACGGAGGGUGCAAGCGUUGUUCGGAAUCACUGGGCGUAAAGGGCGCGCAGGCGGUUUGAUUAGUCAGAUGUGAAAGCCCACGGCUUAACCGUGGAAGUGCAUUUGAAACUGUCAGACUUGAGUAUCAGAGGGGUAAGUGGAAUUCCCGGUGUAGAGGUGAAAUUCGUAGAUAUCGGGAGGAAUACCGGUGGCGAAGGCGACUUUCUGGCUGAAUACUGACGCUGAGGCGCGAAAGCGUGGGGAGCAAACAGGAUUAGAAACCCCGGUAGUCC